RNA transcript from Gallus gallus (chicken), 6971 nucleotides. RefSeq lists it as uncharacterized. Lineage: Eukaryota; Metazoa; Chordata; Aves; Galliformes; Phasianidae. The transcript is spliced from 8 exons. The record is from RefSeq and is a predicted model, not a curated record.
GCACUCAUAAGGAUUCAAAUCUUUAAAAUGGAGUAUGACAGUUGUGACUCAUGGCCCAUCUAUCAUUUACCCUGAGCAGGGGACUUUGUGACUCAAUUGGGAACAUGCUGAGUGAAUCUCCUUACUUGGAGUUGCUGCACCUACGAGAGUGAGCCUCUUCCUCCUCUAAAUAGUUUCCUACACACAUCGUUCCUGUACAAAAUCAGUCAAUAUUUGGGUGUCUCAAACAAUGAAAGUAGCAGUGGUGUCCUGAGACAGUGAAUGCAGUUAAGACUGAACUCAUCUUUGCUAAUGUUCUGCCUAAUACGGCAUUUUUUGAAGUGAGUCCCCUUGAUAAAACUCCAGGAGGCACCAAAAACUACAUCUCAAAAAUACAUGAGAAGCAGCUUGCUACUUGCUCACUAGUAGGUUUGUCUAGACCACACAGCUUGUCAUUUCUCCAGAGUAUUGACACACUACAGCAAGGAAAUGAGAAUAAUGUCUCCCAAGAUAUGCUGGGAACAGAAGAGCAAGGCCUUAAAUGAGUACCUCUCCAGUAGUAGGUCAGCUGCAUGUGCUCAGUCAUAUGAGAGGUGAAAAAGAGCUCUUAUACAUAUUGACACAGGCUGGUUUUUUUUUAUUAUUAUUAUUUUUAUCAUCACAGCAAAACUGAAUGCAUUUUGGGAUAGCAGAAUUGGUGCUGGGCAGUUGCUCGCACUGAGUGUGAUGCAGUGCUAAUGAUGUUAUUCCUUUGCUCAAAUCCUGCAGGUCUUUAUUGUUUUCCCCCUUCUCCCUGAAAAAGUAAAAGCAUUUGAUCUGACCUUAAGGUCCUGCUCACUAUGGCCUUCAAAAUGGCUACCUCUUUGCUUACGGACCUAACUUCAUCACAAAUAUCUGCAGUUUUAAUGCUAUAGCAGCAGCAUUCCUGGCAUUGUUAUAGCAACUGUGCAUACUGUCUAUCUCAGAAUAUCCUGCACUAUAUCCCUGAGCAAAAUAUUUUGUACCUUAGCAAGUACACAAUAUUUUUGUUGUUUUAAAGGAUCUAUAAAAGCUCCUACUUUUUUUCUUAGGUAAAAGCCCCAUCUCACUGCACUUGCUCUGUGCUUCCUGGGUUUCUAACCAUCUGUGACAUUUGUCCAGAAAUGCUCCUGAUGCUGAUACAUCCCUUUUGUAAUGGAGCAAGGAGAACUGCAUGUACUUCUCAGUAUAGAGCAAGUAAUUGAUUUACACAGUGGCAGCAAAGAGCGUGGCCCCUCUCUCCUGGGAUAAAUGAGUGUAGCAAAAUUAUUGAUGUUCCUAAUUAAAGUUGGGCAAGGCCAAAGGAGAGGUAAGCUUGUUCAGGGGGAAGAGGGGUUGCACGGCCAAAUGCUCCUGUUUUACUGCGAGUUACUGGGGUGGAGCAGAAGUGAUGUAAGUAUCUCUGUGCUCUGAGGAGGGAAGGCCGGGAGGUUGAACAGUCCUUCCCGAUGCUUCCCCUUCCUACAGCAGCCCGGGGAAUAAUUCUGUCUGUUCAGAGCCUCUGCUUUUUCUGCUACUCUGAAGAAGCUUCCCAGCUGUUAGCUCUAGCUCUUCUAAGCACAACACAGCCCUCUGCUGUGUGCGGGUGGGAAGGCUUACAAUUUGGCUACGCUGAUUUCGCUAGCCAAUUUUUCAGGCACAGCUUAUAUUGACAUUGCCUUCCUACUCCUUUCUUACCUCAGACUGGUGUAGUGUUUGCUUAUGAUAUAAAGCUGGCAAACGUUUUGUUUGGCUUUCUUGAGGUAAUAUGUAAAAAUCAGUAAAUCUCCUAAAUUUUGCAGAUGAGAGCUCUUCAUCUACCAAGCUCCUCUACAAGGGCAAGCCCACACCUGUGUGAGCACAGAAGUGUCUGCACACCUGUGUUCACCCAGGGGGGAGGGGUGGGCCUCAGGUGUGGAGGGCAGUGCACUUCCUGCAGCACUUUGGUCAGGAACUCUAGCUCUGGCUGCCUUUCAGCACAAGCUGUCUUAUAUGUGUAGAGUAUCUUUUAUAUGGAAAGCUCUUGUUUUUUUUUUCAAGCUGCAUCAAAGUUUCUCAGGUGAAGGCAGCUGCAAAGUCUGCAGAUUUCCACGUACAAAAGUUACUUCAAAUGGCGUUUCUGUGAGAAGACAACUAGUUGCCUCAGCAAUAGAACCAAAAAAAGACUAGUGCUUCACUGCUAACAAGAAAGUGGAGAUGACUCACUGCUACUAAAGGACUCUUUGCCAUUCCUAUGAGGAUGACCAUCCAGCCCAGUUCCUCAGCAUCCUUGUGGCAGCAGUAGAUGUUUGGGGAAAACACACAAUAACAGGACACAUCUGGAGAGAUCCUUUCCCAGCAUAACCUUUUGGCAAUAUUAAAGGUGCCUACUUGAGUUAUGUGAGGAUAAAUGAGGCCACUUGCUGGAUCUUACUGAAGUUUAAAAGAGGAUUUCGGACUGGACCUGGACCAAUGCUGGGCUUUCAGACAAUUCAUUGCACACAUUCUUUGCCUCUCUGGCCAAGACAAGCCAUGGCUUCCUCUCUGCACCUCACCAACCAUGCAGCUCCUGUUUGACAGGGAAGAGAUGUGGGAGUAUGGCAAGUCUUUUAAUAUCCAGUACUUUGCAUUAUGGAUAGUGGUGUUCCAGGUUACCAGAGGGAAAGGAAUGGGAGUUUUUAGCAGAAACUCCGAGGAAAAAAAGAACAUGAACUGAUCCACUCUGUAAUCAACAUACGUAGGCCAUAACAUCAGACUGUUCAGAGCACAGCAGGACAGAUAAGAGUUCAGAUGAAGUUUCUGUACCUCAACACACAAUGGAGAGACAAGCUUAAUCAUGAGUGCUCUCCCAGUGUUUUUUCUCUUCUUUUCAUAUACCCAGAUAAAGUAGAUAUUUCCUCUCAAAAUUGCUAAGGAAUGAAUCACGUAGUGGCUCACUUAACAUAGCCCUACAGAUUUGAACAUGUGCCUGGCUUCUUCUGUCUCUGCACGUGGCAAUUACCUGGUAUCUGCUCACACUAUCUUAAAUCAAGGGAAGCCUUCGCUGAACACAUUGACUGCCAUCUUCUGCUUUGGGCACCCAGAUCCCCAAAUGUGGUGUUGCUGUGUGCUGUCCAGGCUUGAGCUCCCUUGAGGUUGCUACUGACCCUCCACUGGUCUUCAGUCAAUAAAUAGCUACUAACCCUCCGACUUGCCAAGAAAGGCAGUGAAGGAACUGUGAAGUAGGAUUGAUCUAUUUACUGACAUUAAGUAAAAACAACUAGAUGAUCUUUAGCAUCCCUUCCCACCUAAGCCAUUCUGUGAUCCUAUGAACUGAGCCUGAUUAUGGAUUUUUUUUUGUGCAGGAAAGGUGCAGAUCAUGGUCAGCAUGUCUAGUGGUCUUAUUUGGUCACACUACAGAAUCCUGAAAUGCUAACAUUUCAUUAUCAAACAGACAGUGAAAAAAAACCAAACAACAAAACCCACCACAAUUAUUUAACAGCAAUCUCUAUGGAGAGAUAAUGGAAAACAUGAAUCAAGGACAAUUAAUCCAUCGUGAGAAGGAUUUAGGAACCUGUUUUGGCCACAUUAUUAGUUGUGGGAGCACUGGCUUUUCUACCCAAUUAAUACUUUAAAAAUAUAUGAAUUAAAUCAUAAGUAAAAUCAGCACCUUAAUCGGUGACUUCCACUGGUUGUAAUAUUUUCCAUUUAUUUUACUUUUUAAGUAAUUGACAACACUUGCUCCACAAAGUCUUUCUCCAUUAAAGCCCCUUAUCUAGCAGUAAAGUCACCACAUUGUGCCUGCAGCACUCCGACUCCUUUUCACUUUUUCCAAAGGACUCUGUAAGCCACAAUAAAAAUAAUUCCGGCACUUAAGAAAGUAUUGACGGUAUCAUUUUUUCCACAACAUUUGAAAAACUUUCUUAAGGGCCUAUCUUUUCCACUCACUACGUGCAGUCUUGGGUUUUCUUUUCUGCACUCCUAUCUGAAAGGUUCACUGAGGGAAACUGCUGCUGGCUGGGAGGAAACAACAAAGCAUAUUUGAAAAGGCGUUUUUUAAUAAUACUUGAUGGUGGUGGUUUUUUUUUUGCUGAGCUGCAAGUGGUAUGUGCUGUGCUGAAAGGUGCCAUCAUUUUAUCAGCCAAGAGAGUGGGAGUCACGUGUCAGAGAACGUGAAGCUGCCUCCACCCUGUCCAGACACCAGGACAGGGGCUUGGAAUUUAAGAGGAAUGGUGUAUCUCAGUGCGAGCUGAGAGAUGUGCAAGUGUGGAAACUGGUCUGAAUUCUGACUGUAAAACUUUUAACACGAUUAUCACCUAAUACCAUCAAUUUUUUUGCUACGAUGCAGCUGGGAAGCUUGCUAUCAACACUUCAGGCAGGAAAAGAUUUAAAGGAUAAAACCAACUGCCUAUCAGAGGAUCAAAUGUAUGAAAAAGAUCCUCAGAAGUGCAUCUUAAUUAAACCUUACUUACAAAAAAGAAAUUCAAAUUCUAAAUAGAAUAAAGCAUAUGUCCUGCCAUUAGGGUGUUUGAAACUGUGCCCAGGACAGACCGGCUGCAGUUUAGUCUUAAGACUGAGUCUGCAACUGUUUGUGUAAAUUGUGUAAACUGUUAAUUUUAUAGCUUGUUAUGAACACGUAUUUUACAUUUUAAGCAGCCAAAGUAAUACUGAGACAGUACUUGCCCAGAAUAACAUCUGGCAAACAUCUGACAAAAUUGAUGCCAAAUACUACUUUAAUUUUGUGACGAAUUUUAUUAGAAACUUAUUAUUUUAAGAAAAGAAAACAAAUUUUUGAUGUUUUAUUAUCAAGCCAUUCAGAAGAAAAUUUGGGAACAGUGCUUUCGUGGUUCUGCAUUAGGAGGAGAAAUUGCUUUAACUCUAUAUGCAACUUACACAGACAAACAGCCAGGCAACCAAAGAAACAAAACCCAACCCAGACAACUCUGCUAGCUUACUGGUACUUCCAUAAGGCAGUAAGUGUGGAAAGCCAACAGUAUUUUUCAUUUCCAGCAAGAGUUUUCUCAGCAAUUGAGUUUGUCUGUACUGACAAUUUCACAUUGGAGGCUUACAUUCAGAUAAUAAGUUAUUGCUCAUUCAUGGACUAAAAGAGCUAAGAAAAGGGAAGUCUGUUCCCUAAAACUGACGGGCUGAAGAGUAUGCCUGUAGGGAAAGACUGAAAGACUACACCUUUUUUUUAGCAUCAGCCCCACGUCCUUUUUUUUUUUUCUUCUUCUUCUUUGUCUUUUACUUCUUUUUUGAAAAGAUGAUUUUUUUUUUUCCCAAAUAUCACACUCAAUUCUUAUUUUCCUUGGAGAAAAAGAAGUGUGAAAACUCAACAACUGCAAACCAGCAGUGAAGAUGGAGAGGAUGAGGACUGUUUUGAACACUUCAUCUCUGGCUUUAUUCUUUGUCAUCACCUAUGCUGAUGUUCAAUGAGAGCCUGACAACUUCGAGAAAUUAAAAACAAAGUACAGAUUUCAAUAAUUUUAGUAAAAAUCCUUUUAAUGCUCAGAACUUUGCUUUUUGGUGAGGCAAACUCUUUCUGAGGACUGUCUGGUUUGUAACCCCAGGCAAUGCACCCAGCUCAGCUACAGCUUUAUUCUUCUGGCUGGUGGGUUGAUAUUGUCUUGGACAGAUUCUGUUUUAUUAUGGUGUGCUGUUUGAGACAGACUUACUUCUCUGUAGUUGGGAUUUACAGUUUAAUCCCAGAAAAAUGUUACUAUCGGUGGUAACAAAGGAUAUGGUUUCUGCAGAGAAAUAUCUGCUUUAAGAGUGAAUCUGUUUAAAGACAAACAGAACAUUAUUUAUGGUAGCUUGUAUUUCCUUUUAAAUAUAAGUGCUGAAUGUAGUUCUUAUCACUCUGGAUCACAAAGGUAAGAUAAAUCUCUCUAAAGCAUGAAAAAAUAUAUAUGGAUUUUGGCACAGUCAGAUUCCUAAGAAGGAGCUGGUAUUUAAGAAUCGCUGUGUUUUUGUUUUAUAAAAAUCCUGUAUUAUUGAAGUUUACUGCUUUGACACAUUUUCCCUCAUGCUAGCUGAGCUUCAUUAGUGCUAACAUCAUUAAAGGCUUGUGGUAUUUAGAGUUGUUUUUCCCAAGAUGAGGAUUUGGAAGGUCCUUACUGGCUCAUCCAUUAACAUGUGUCAACAGCCUCCCACGAAUGAGGUGCUCUUCAGCAGAUGUAAAGCUGCUCAGGUCAAAGCCCAGCCUCAACUUUAUCCCAUGUAACUAAUUCUGAAUCUGGAACACAGGUUCCACCUGAAUCCUGAAUUCAGGAUCCAUCCAAAGCUGAAACACAGGAUCAAUCUGAAGCUCAAACAGACUGGAGAAGAGUGUCCUUGCAGAGAGGCUGCUGAAGUGUCCAUGCCUGCCCACGGAGUCUGGUCUUCCAACAUCUCUAUCCCAUUCUUAGCAUGGUUCUCAUAAGGUUCAACCUGAGACAGAUCAACUCGGAGACAUGGCAGAAAAUUACUCUUUCUGAAUUGGUUUGUUUAGGAAUGCUUUUCUGCCACCUUGGCAAGCAGCACUGGCUGUGGAUGAAUCUGAGGUGUGCCAAAGCAAGUGCAGGAAGGGUGCGGGGGAAAGACAGAACAAGUUGCUGGAUCAGCUCAAGCUGUGACAUGUACCUUUGCCCUUACAUCUGCUUUGAGGAUGACAUAAUAUUAAUGGUGCUGACAAAGGAGCUUGAGCAGAUCUUGGUGUUGUAGGUGAGGGAGACAUCACAACACACCGAGCUGGCAUGCCUUCUGCCAGAAGUCACUGGUGGCAGAACACAAGUGUGGGGGUGAUGCUUUAGCUACUGCAGGGCAGAACAAAGCCCUGUGUGGUGAGGUAUGAAAAACUCAUUUUUCAGUUUCUAACUGAUAUUAAGAAUACUAUUCCCCUUUCUCCCUCUGAGGCUUUGGCAAUCCAGCUCUUGGUACUGAAGCAGUUUGGCCUCCAGAGAUGAAGAAUCUGAAAACAAGAGCAUCUUUAAAACUCUCUGCUCUAAAGAAAUAUGCAUCUAUAAACUGCUGGCAAUAAAUACAUCACUGUGUAACAA